GGGCUGUUCACUAUUGGAAUUUGUCAAAAUUUACUUAUCCAUUUAUUCAAAACGUAUUUGAGUGACUUCUACAUGCCCUGCACUGUUCUAAGUGCUGGGGUUAUAGCAACGGACAACACAGUCGAUUCCACGCCCCCUGGAGUCUGCAUUCUCACAUGGAAGAUGGGUAACAAACAGUGGUUAUGACUGCGUCGCAGUGAUGACUGCUGUGAAGUCAAUAAAGCGGACGGAGACAGAGGCUGAAGAUGCAGACUCAGGCGGGAGCCAGUGCUGAGUGCCGGCCUCUGUGCAGUCGGUUAGCUGGCAUGUGGGAUGGACGGGAAAUUCCACAGACAGCAGGUGUGUUUCACAACCUGGGAAUGUCCCCAGGACUAAGAAGCCUGAGUACUCUGCAGGUGUGGGAAAGCUUCAGCGUCGGCCUAAGGGGAGAAUUCCUAUGAGAUUCUCAAACAAGCCUCCAGAAACCAUCCAGCAGUCCUCCGCCUUUUCCAGUUCAGGCUUCCCAUAAACCAGUGUCAGGUCAGAGGUCGUCAUCCCAUUUCCACGUUCAUGGAACACCGUGAGACUUCUCUUCUCUGAGGAAGCAGUUUGGCAGUGGUACCCGGCAAAGAUGAUGACGUGUCAUAGCACCAGAGUUCAAGCAAAAUCAAAUCAAGAGUGAUUUUAGAUACCUGGCAGGAGACCCUGAUGGGUCCAGUUAGUCAAGGGUGCCACACAGGAUCAUCAGUAUGGACCCAGCUGGACUUCUGAGCACGGCCAGAAAACGUCCCCGAAGCAAACGCAUUGUUUAAAGUUUAAAACUGCAGCAAGACUUGAACCCUGCUGGACAAUCCAGUGCCUUCUCCUCGCUCACACCCCUUCCCCACGCCAACCUUCCAGCCUCUGCUCAGGCCUCCCACUGCAGGGAACCUCCUCCUCGCUGCAGGGGAAUCUCUCACGUAGACAUUGGCUCACGUCAUUCCCCUUGUUUAGAAGAGUCUAAGGACUUCUCCACGUUGGUCCACAAAGUCAAAGCUCCUCAGCAUUUUGUACAACAUCCUUCCGGGAGUGGCCCCUCUCACCUCCGGUUACACCCACAUCCCUGAUGCACCCCAUAUUCCAGCCACGGCAGUGACUGAGACCUCAGGCUGCACCAGGCUCCCUCAUGCCACUGUCGCUGCACAGCCCACUUCAAACCUCAGCAUGUCACCUUCUCCUUGUCCCAUGUGGCAAGCUCCUCACCUCUCUCUUCAGGGCAGGUGUGGCCUCCUCCGGGAAGCUCACCUGCCUCCCUCUCCUCCCACACACGCCUCACCUGUGGGCCAGCUCACCGAGUUUACGUCUCUGCUCCCUCCCGAGCCCCAGUCCCACAGUCUGUACUUCAGAGUGGAGAUUCUGUCUCAAAAACUGAAAGUUGCAGCUGCCCCAUGAUAAACAUUCAAUAAGCGUUUCUAGAAUGAAUGGACAGAUGGGUUUUCCACUUGAAGAACAGGACAUUCCGUUUAGCAGUUGGGGGAUGGGGAGGCAAGCAGGGUGCUGACUACUCAGUAUACAAGAUUCCACUCUCCUGUCUGGUAAGAUCACUAAAACCAACAACAAAAACUCUCAAUCUGCUUAAAAGAAGAACGUCUAUCCCUCGAGUUAAUCACCUUCAACAGUGUUUUAUGGAAAACACCAGCGUCACACGAGGCUGACGUGGUGGCGUCCUCCCUCUGCUCUCCAUUCCCAAUAAGGAGAUAAGGGGGACGCGCUGACAUUUCAACUGGGUGGAAACCAACCUCCAGAGAUGGAGAUUUCCAGGCUGGCAGGCUUUUCUGCCACCUCCGAAGGGUGCUAACAGCUGAGAGAGAUGGUGUUGCCCAGAGCAGGAUGGAGAGGCACCAAGUCAGCUGGAAAGGCAGCCGGGGUCCAGGGUUUCACCAGCACCUGGGGGACCAGCCCUGUGGCAGUCCUACGAGAUCCAAUUCUCUGGAUGAGGAGCCCAGGAAGAUGAAUUUUAACAGGUUUCUCCAAUGCUUCUUUGGCCCCUUAACCUGUGGGCACAACUGACUCAGACGGGACUCUCCCCAGAGCUGCCCAGGGAGAGGGAAGUGUCCCGUGGAGAUGGGCAUACGAGGCCUAGCAAACCGAGACCCUUUUCAACUGUCAGGUCAGGAGCCCUGCUUCCUCGUUUUGACUCCAUGCUCACUAAGCACCCUCUGGCGGUUCAGUCUCCAUGAGGCAGAUCUGCUGGGGGAGACUGUGCAGGGACAGCCAACAUGGACUUCUGUUCUUUCAGAAAUGUUGCUUCUCAUUGCAAGAUAACACACUGUCACGGUUGUUCUGUUGUUCUGUUGCCCACCAGGAGACGUUUGGCAGUGUCCAGUGGCAUUUUUGUUUGUCACAAUCGGGAGAUGCCACUGGUAUCUAGAGUGUAGAGGCCAGAGAUGCUGUUAACAUUUUACGAUGCACACAAUAGCUCCCUACGAAAAGAAUUAUGGUGGCGGGUAUAUAUGGGAACAGUCUGUACUCUCUGCUCCAUUUUGCUGUAAAUCUAAAACUGCUGUAAAAAACAAAGUCUAUUGUCUAAAAGAGGGAAUCAUGUAGCGCAGAAUGCCAACAGUAUCGAGGCUGGGAAACCCUGCCCUGAAGGAAGCCGCAGAAGUGCUUCCCUACUCCUGACCCUACGCUCACUUCCCUAACGAGGCCCACUGGCUUUUGUGAGGAACAGCAAUUUUGCAUAGAAAUGCUUCCAAGUGAGCUCAGAUGUACAUCUCUGUCUCUCUUCUUGUUCAAGUCAGAAGAUAAUGUUGUAACUGAGUAACAUAUGCUCUGCAGCGUCACCCUCACGAGGAAGCCACUUAGCUAUACUGCAAAUACGACCCAUGCUGAGGCGAGAAUUGCAUUCCCUUUUGAAAGACACACCUAUGUCAACAGAGGUAGACUAAAUUAGAAGCAUGAGAUGUUAACGCCACAGCAAUGUGGUCUUGGAAUCUGGUGUGAGGAUGACCCACUUUGGGGGGUUUUCGUUUUGGUUUCCAGAAUCUCUGUGUCUCCCUCAGCACAUGGGCCUCCCACACCCACACAUCUUGUGAGCCAUAUGGCACUCUUCUGGAACGACUUUCAUUUGAUUUUCAUUCUCCUUUCCUUAGAAUAUUUCUUUUAUUCUCAUUCUGUCAGGAUGUGCUGAGGCCCUUGGGGAAGGGUCUUUGUUCAAAUUCUCUGCUUGCUGGUAGUGACCUUUACAAUUCCACUCGCACCUCUGCCUGAAGCCCCAGCGAAACCGGAAAACCAGAAUGUAACCCUGCUGGCGAAGUUUGGAGAAGGAAUUUUAUACAACUUCUGUGGAUUUGGAGAAAUGGAAGAACCCACUCUUCUUUUGGGGUCAGGAUGUCAAUAAUUAUCUUAUGUGAAAAAUUCACAGAUUUCUUUUGUGUGGUGGUAGGUUAGGGUUAGGGAUGUGAGAAGAUAAACGCCACUUCCUGGAGCCACGGAACCACAUACCCCGGGGCCCUCAACAACAUCAGGGACUUGAGUGGUCCAGCAGUAAAGACGAGGGAAAACAGCUAACUGUUUCACCAGGACAAAGCCAGAAGAAUGGUGGAAAGUAACCGUUAGAAUUAAAAGAUGCCGGCAGGACAGCAGGAGAGAAUCAAGAUUAAUUAGGCACAUUGAAGGAGUGGAACUCACUGUACCGAAAGAGAGCCGAGUCACUUCCCCCGACUGUUAGCUCUCCAUCCACCCGUCCUCUGCUUUGGGUGUCGUUGUUCAGCUUCGGGGACACUCAGUGGCCAGUGAGGCUGGGCAGAAGCACUCUGUGCUGUUUGCCUCCACCCUGUGUCAUCCAUGUUUGCUGAAGACCUUCCCACCUCGCAUCUGCCCCAGAAUUCCACCCUUGGUGAACCUCCCAGUAGGGAAAUGGCUUCUCAGGAGAAGUGCAGACAUAGCCAUUGUCUGUGGGAUGACACCUACUCUAAGGUUUAGUAUCUCAGAUUAGGAGAGGGCCUCUCCCAGCCAGUGGUUUGGGAUCACCUGCACGCAGCCAGCGGCCUUUAAGCCAGUUUUGACAUGCUGUUUCAGCCAAAGAAACACAAAUCUGAAAUCCAAAGUCAUUGAAAGCUAUUUAAAUCUCUACGGCAGGGGCUCAACUCCGUGUCCUAGGGGUUCGCGUCUACAUCGCACAGAAAGCACCGUCAAAGACUCGUUCCGCAUCUCUCUCAGACCAUCUCCUCAGGCGUCCAGCAGCUGGGGACUGUUCUUCUCUGUCCCCCAACACUGUCUGCAAACUCAGUUCAUGUUAGACCUCCUCUCAUCUUUCUUGUUUUAAGCUAUUCAUCAAAUGCUCUUUUCCAUCAUAGUCUAGAUUAAUCUAGACUUUCAGAGAAUUUCUCAAAGCUCCUUUCUAUCCGUUACAUGUGUCAACAAAGCCAAAUGCCAGGCACCUGCCAGUCAACGAAGGCUUGCCAUCUUUGAAAGUGAUUUUAUGAAAGCUAAGCUGAACAAAUCCACACUUUUCCUUGCAAAACACAAACUCACAUGCACACAGUAAUAAGGCACUCUGUUCUUCUUAAGGAAAAAAGGGUGUCAAUUUUUACGUCAAAUUACUAAAAGUAUGUCUAUACAGGAUUAGUUUUUUGGUGGCUCAGAGAAGGGAAAAUCCCCUAGAAAGAAUGAUUUCAUCCUAUAAAUAAUAGGUUAUUCUUCGAGAAAGCUCUUGAAAUGUGCUGUCAAAGGCACAGUUUUCUUUCUUAAUGUCUUAAUGGCACUAUUCUCUAGGCAGAGAAAAGGCAUGUCUUCAGGUUACACUCAAAAGGGAUCUGCUUCCCAAUUCUUUGGUGAGUUGACCCUGUGGAUGGUCGGCUCCUCAGGGAGGGGUGCCCAAUGGGGCCUUUGGAGGAUCCAGCUGAAGGCCCUUUUCAACUCAAGACAGUCCUGAACUGAUCAGGACUCUGAAGAUCACGGUCAGCAUCCAUCGUUGGGAGCCAAUUAGCAAGACAUAUUCCUGUGUGCAUGUCUGCAUGUGUGUUUUGUAAAGUAUGGGUUUGUUCACACUUUAUCUUUAAAAUCACAAAAGCCCUCAGUGUUAAACUAAGUAACACAUCCAGGCCUGUAGGAGUUCAGGUAGCUGGACCAUGAAAGCAAGCUGAGCUGGUCCUGGAGAGAGAAGGAGCGACAAGCUGGGCCUUGAAUAAUGAGUCAGGGGAGAACCAAAGGCCUCACCAGGAGCUCUUUUUCACACACUUUCGUUUUUUCUUCAACUUGAAGAAGAAAACCCAAAUAUUAAAAAUUUGUCUUUUUUCUCAUUUUUCUACAUUUUCUACCUAUCAACCCAGGAACAACUUUCUACAUAUACAAUUCACCUUUCAUUUUUAUUAUUUAUUUUAGUAGCAUUGAUUGUUUUCUUCUGACUACAAAAGGAAGGCCAUAAAUUUAGCGUCCGAGGUUGUCAAUAAUCAAAGGGAGUGAAGGAAUGGCUCUGGAAACUCCUUAUUGAGCCUCAUCCUGGAGACUUCAGGAGCUAAGAAAAGAGCACCUGAAAUCCCGCCACUCAGAGGAAGCCACUGUUAGCAUUUUGGUGUUAUUUUCUGCUUUUAAAUUUUUCCCUGAAGAGUGACUCCCUGAUAUUUUGAUAAGUUAUUAAGAGAUUCUCUAAUAUUUGAACACGUUAUUAUGAAAUAUAACCAUCCAUAGAUACGACAUUAGUUAAUCCUUCUGUGACUGGAAACAGGCCAGGACAGCUCUGUUUCGAGCUUCGAGCCCCCAGCUGUGGCCCCUCCUAGACAACGGCCUGGCCUUCUAGUCUCUCCCCAACUGUGUCCCCCAAACACGUCGAGGGACUGACAGGUGAGAGGUGACUCGCUGGAAGUAAAAAGCCACCUGCUGUUAGGAAGAGUUUCUGGAAGUCAUGCGAUUACUUUUUUCCUUUUUUGCAACCUCUCAUCCCAGGUCAUUUGGAAAUGCACAGUAGUCUUAGGUGGCAGUCCUUCUGGACUUCUCAGGAUAUUUUUCUAUUGAGAAAAAGUCUCAAACCUUUACAGAUUGGAGUUUGUACAGACACAUGAUUUCCAACAUCAGCUGAGCCUUUGUGCAGCUUUGAAUUCCUUGUUCUUGGAACAAUCACUGUCCCACGUCCCACCACUCUCUCCGACUUGACACCUCACCGUAACUCAAGUUCCCCACCCCGUCUUUCUUGGCAGAUGGCCUGUCUUCUGCUCCCUAGGGAAAAGAAACUAGCGAGGUCUUCAGUUUCCCUCCUGCUUACUCCCUAUUUCACAGAAAGUGGUGUUUUCCUUCUUCCUAAAACUAAACACUCACAAUGACUUCUGCUUUCUCCACAGAUUUGCCAUGAAUUAUUUUCUUUUUUACUUUUUUAUAACUAUCUCUUCUUCAUUAAUAAAAUGUUCAUGUCUAUUUCUUCCGAACUCUUACUAAAGCCUAUAAUCUGUGAUUUUUGUGCUUUUCUAUAUUUUCCAAACCCUUUGUGUAUUGUUUUUGUCACUAGAUACAAAAGCAACCCAAUGUAAUACAAUCCAUUCUCUCUCUCUCCUUGGGCAAACUUCUUGAAAGGAUAAUGCCAUUCUAUACUUAAUAUUUACACUUUCUCACCUUUAACUUGUUUUUCAGUCUCAUGUCACCACGUCCCUGUUACACUAUAUCAUCCCUUUGCUCACAAAAGUCACCAAUAAUUUUCCAAAUAACAAAUACAUUAAUACUUUUCUCCAUUUUGUUAUAUGACUUCUCCAAGUCAUGAGUCAUUGUUUAUGACUCCUGGGUUCUCUCUACCUCUUACUCUAAAAGAUCUCCCUAGGUGAUAACAUCCACAUCCAUGGCUGCUGGGGAUGCAGUCACACUAAUGACACCCAGGGUUAUGUCUCUUUUGAGUUCCCAAAUCAAAUCUCGACUCUCUAUUGAAUAUCUCUUUGUGGGUGUGUCACACGGACAUCUCAAGUUUGAAAGGUCCAGAGUGGAAAUUGUCAUCUCUCCCUUCAAAUCUUCUCUUCCUUCUUUGUUUUCUAUACCAAUGAUGGUAAUGCCAUUAUCCCAUCUUCCAACUAGAAGAGCCAUUCUAGUUCCUUACUUGUUUUCCAUAUCCCAUUAUUUACCAAAUUUGUUGUUUCUGACAAACAAAUGUAUGUAGAAUAUCUUCUGUAGUUUUUCCUUUGAGUCUCAACUGCCCCAUCUUAGUAUAGAGCUUUCUAACUGUCUUUGGUAGGUGGCUACUCAAUUCACAGCAAGUCACCAACAGAUCCAACAGAUGGGACUCUCAAUGGCCAUGUCUCAGUUAACCCCAUCUCCUGAACGUGAACGAUGGCCCCAAGUUGGCCCAAUCAGAGUCUUUCUUCUAGGAAUGUGAGUUAUGUGUUCUUGAAUAGAGGGAUGGCGUAACCGAGGAUUGGUGGGACUGACGACAUCGAUGCUGCCACUUAGGUAGAAUGCCCACGACUCCGUAGCUGCCCUGGUUCUGCCCAUUGUCUCUGUUGUUUAACAAUUUCUUCAGCAAAGUGAGAGAGGCAACUGGGAAAGAACCUCCAAAUCUGCAUUCUUCCUCCUUCCUCAUGCCAUGUCCGAGUAUUCCCUGUAUCUAGUAGGAAAUUCAGCUCCACCACCAUGAUCCUGGGUUCUUCUGGGUUCUGCAGUCUACGGAGCCCAUCUCCUGCCUCCCUCCCUCCCUCCUUAGUAGGGUGUACCUCCUCUCCUCUGUGAGGAAGCCCCUCACUCACCAACUCUGACACCCUUGGGCACAAUCAGGGCCUCCUUCCCAUCUGCUCCCAUAGUGCACUGUCUUUACUCUUGCAAGUGCUUGCAAUGCUGUGACACAAGUGUUGGUCUACCCAUCUAUUGUUCUAUUGGACUGGAAGCUCCUUGAUGGCGGAGACAUCUGGCCAAGGAGCCCAUGUGCCUCUGGAGACACCAUCGUGGAGCAACAAUGACAAAACAUCAGAGACCCUUAGUGAGGUUGGGGAAUCAUGGCUGCCUCAUAAGCUCGGGCAGCUUCCAGGGUGAGAUACACCCUGACAGAAAAGUGUGUCAUGGACUGAAGUAAAAUAAGGGAAGGAGUGGCAGCCCGUGCUAGCAAUAGAAAAAGUGAUUCUCUGAUUUCGAGUUACAGGGCUGACAACAGCUGGAAGAAAGCCUUUGUCUGUGUCAGCAUGGAGAUGGCAAGAAUGCAGGAGCCAGGGGUGUGGUGGACAGAGGAGGACAGGAUGACAGUCUGGGGGUGUCUGGAGACAUACCAGUGCUGGCUGAAUGACUAUGAAAUGGCUCCAGGCACUUGGCCUCUAACUCAGCUUCCAGACACCAGAGAUCUCCCCCGUUCCUGGGCCCAUUGCUGAGGAGACUGAGAUCCAAAGGGCCCACAAAUGAUUUCCAAAAACAGCAAGAACAGCUCUUUGGACUCGGGGCCUCUGUGGUUGAAAAGCCAUGAGAGACUGUCAAGUAUAUUGAACAAUAAGUGGAGGAAGUCAGUCUGAGCGCAAAGGAGUGCACGUGACUGAGAAGGCAAGGAACAAAAUAUGUUGAAAGGAGGUUAAUUAAAAUGUAAAUCUGGCAAGCACUAAAAUUUUGGACAGCCUUAAAACUUUUUAAAUGUUGCCACUUUAAUAUGCCCUUAGGUUUCUACUUAUUUCUUUAAUUGCCAUCUGUUAAGCGAACAGUGAUGAUGAAGUAAAAUAAAGUUUUCCCAAAGCUUUUGGCAUUAAAUCUGCUUUAAAAACUCACUCAUCUGUGAAAGCUAAUUUUAUUUUUUAUUUUUUGGCUGUUGCCUGUUUUGUCCAGGCCAACCACCCUUGGUUUUGGC
Molecule: long non-coding RNA, 8755 nt
Organism: Equus caballus (horse)
Lineage: Eukaryota; Metazoa; Chordata; Mammalia; Perissodactyla; Equidae
Source: Ensembl